RNAcentral lists this non-coding RNA (112 nucleotides) under Kroppenstedtia eburnea. Its description in RNAcentral is "Thermoactinomycetaceae bacterium JFMB-ATE SAM riboswitch aptamer (S box leader)". It matches the Rfam family "SAM riboswitch aptamer (S box leader)". Rfam says of the family: The SAM riboswitch is found upstream of a number of genes which code for proteins involved in methionine or cysteine biosynthesis in Gram-positive bacteria. The SAM riboswitch acts at the level of transcription termination control. The predicted structure consists of a complex stem-loop region followed by a single stem loop terminator region. RNAcentral also lists the same sequence under 1 other name. The record is from Rfam by way of RNAcentral. Lineage: Bacteria; Bacillati; Bacillota; Bacilli; Caryophanales; Thermoactinomycetaceae.
CUCUUAUCAAGAGAGGCGGAGGGACGAGCCCGAUGAAGCCCGGCAACCCCGGUCACCAAGACCGGAAGGUGCCAAUUCUUGCAGAGCCCCGGAGGCUGCUGAGAGAUAAGAG